Molecule: regulatory RNA element, 75 nt
Rfam family: Alpha operon ribosome binding site
About the family: The bacterial alpha operon ribosome binding site is surrounded by this complex pseudoknotted structure.
Source: Rfam
AUAAUAAUAACAAUUAUACUAUAUUUUAUUGGAGUAGAAUAAGUGGUACGAAUAGCAGGCAUAAACAUUCCUGAU